Molecule: ribosomal RNA, 752 nt
Filed under: uncultured bacterium
Lineage: Bacteria
Description: bacterial SSU rRNA
Rfam family: Bacterial small subunit ribosomal RNA
Source: RNAcentral
UGCAGUCGACGCUUCUUACCUCCCGAGUGCUUGCACUCAAUUGGAAAGAGGAGUGGCGGACGGGUGAGUAACACGUGGGUAACCUACCCAUCAGAGGGGGAUAACACUUGGAAACAGGUGCUAAUACCGCAUAACAGUUUAUGCCGCAUGGCAUAAGAGUGAAAGGCGCUUUCGGGUGUCGCUGAUGGAUGGACCCGCGGUGCAUUAGCUAGUUGGUGAGGUAACGGCUCACCAAGGCCACGAUGCAUAGCCGACCUGAGAGGGUGAUCGGCCACACUGGGACUGAGACACGGCCCAGACUCCUACGGGAGGCAGCAGUAGGGAAUCUUCGGCAAUGGACGAAAGUCUGACCGAGCAACGCCGCGUGAGUGAAGAAGGUUUUCGGAUCGUAAAACUCUGUUGUUAGAGAAGAACAAGGACGUUAGUAACUGAACGUCCCCUGACGGUAUCUAACCAGAAAGCCACGGCCAACUACGUGCCAGCAGCCGCGGUAAUACGUAGGUGGCAAGCGUUGUCCGGAUUUAUUGGGCGUAAAGCGAGCGCAGGCGGUUUCUUAAGUCUGAUGUGAAAGCCCCCGGCUCAACCGGGGAGGGUCAUUGGAAACUGGGAGACUUGAGUGCAGAAGAGGAGAGUGGAAUUCCAUGUGUAGCGGUGAAAUGCGUAGAUAUAUGGAGGAACACCAGUGGCGAAGGCGGCUCUCUGGUCUGUAACUGACGCUGAGGCUCGAAAGCGUGGGGAGCAACAGGAUUAGA